CAGUCGCCACGGGAAUACGAAGGGUGCAAGCGUUACUCGGAAUUACUGGGCGUAAAGCGUGCGUAGGUGGUGGUUUAAGUCCGUUGUGAAAGCCCUGGGCUCAACCUGGGAAUUGCAGUGGAUACUGGAUCACUAGAGUGUGGUAGAGGAUAGCGGAAUUUCCGGUGUAGCAGUGAAAUGCGUAGAGAUCGGAAGGAACAUCUGUGGCGAAGGCGACUAUCUGGGCCAACACUGACACUGAGGCACGAAAGCGUGGGGAGCAAACAGGAUUAGAUACCCCUGUAGUCCCUGUCUCUUAUAC
RNAcentral lists this ribosomal RNA (301 nucleotides) under uncultured bacterium. Its description in RNAcentral is "partial 16S ribosomal RNA". It matches the Rfam family "Bacterial small subunit ribosomal RNA", at positions 509 to 807 of the family's 1533-position model. The record is from RNAcentral.